RNAcentral lists this unclassified non-coding RNA (348 nucleotides) under soil metagenome. RNAcentral describes it as "partial contains 5.8S ribosomal RNA, internal transcribed spacer 2, and large subunit ribosomal RNA". The stretch from base 1 to 120 matches the Rfam family "5.8S ribosomal RNA", at positions 35 to 154 of the family's 154-position model. The record is from RNAcentral.
GAUGAAGAACGCAGCGAGAUGCGAUAAGUAAUGUGAAUUGCAGAAUUCAGUGAAUCAUCGAAUCUUUGAACGCACAUUGCGCCCGCCAGUAUUCUGGCGGGCAUGCCUGUCUGAGCGUCAUUUCAACCCUCAUGCCCCUAGGGCGUGGUGUUGGGGAUCGGCCAAAGCCCGCGAGGGACGGCCGGCCCCUAAAUCUAGUGGCGGACCCGUCGUGGCCUCCUCUGCGAAGUAGUGAUAUUCCGCAUCGGAGAGCGACGAGCCCCUGCCGUUAAACCCCCAACUUUCCAAGGUUGACCUCAGAUCAGGUAGGAAUACCCGCUGAACUUAAGCAUAUCAAUAAGCGGAGGA